UACGAGGGCCCCGAGCGUUAUCCGGAUUUAUUGGGCGUAAAGCGCACGUAGGAGGUCAAACGCGUCUUUUGUUAAAUUCCAUGGCUCAACUGUGGAGCUGCAGGGGAAACGGUUUGACUAGAGGAUACCAGAGGUUAAUGGAGCGCAUGGUGUAGGGGUGAAAUCCGUUGAUAUCAUGCGAAACACCGAAGGCGAAGGCAGUUAACUGGGGUAUUCCUGACUCUAAGGUGCGAAAGCGUGGGGAGCAAAAAGG
RNAcentral lists this unclassified non-coding RNA (253 nucleotides) under uncultured Parcubacteria group bacterium. Its description in RNAcentral is "contains 16S-23S intergenic spacer region". It matches the Rfam family "Bacterial small subunit ribosomal RNA", at positions 524 to 776 of the family's 1533-position model. The record is from RNAcentral.